AACAGGAUUAGAUACCCUGGUAGUCCAUGCCGUAAACGUUGGGCACUAGGUGUGGGGGACAUUCCACGUUUUCCGCGCCGUAGCUAACGCAUUAAGUGCCCCGCCUGGGGAGUACGGCCGCAAGGCUAAAACUCAAAGGAAUUGACGGGGGCCCGCACAAGCGGCGGAGCAUGCUGAUUAAUUCGAUGCAACGCGAAGAACCUUACCAAGGCUUGACAUGCACCGGACGGUCGCAGAGAUGUGGCUUUCUUCGGACUGGUGCACAGGUGGUGCAUGGUUGUCGUCAGCUCGUGUCGUGAGAUGUUGGGUUAAGUCCCGCAACGAGCGCAACCCUCGUUCUAUGUUGCCAGCACGUCAUGGUGGGGACUCAUAGGAGACUGCCGGGGUCAACUCGGAGGAAGGUGGGGACGACGUCAAAUCAUCAUGCCCCUUAUGUCUUGGGCUUCAAGCAUGCUACAAUGGUCGGUACAAUGGGUUGCGAAACUGUGAGGUGGAGCGAAUCCCAAAAAGCCGGCCUCAGUUCGGAUUGGGGUCUGCAACUCGACCCCAUGAAGUCGGAGUCGCUAGUAAUCGCAGAUCAGCAACGCUGCGGUGAAUACGUUCCCGGGCCUUGUACACACCGCCCGUCAAGUCACGAAAAUCGGUAACACCCGAAGCCAGUGGCCCAUCCUCGUGAGGGAGCUGUCUAAGGUGGGAUCGGUGAUUGGGACUAAGUCGUAACAAGGUAACC
RNAcentral lists this ribosomal RNA (730 nucleotides) under uncultured bacterium. RNAcentral describes it as "bacterial SSU rRNA". It matches the Rfam family "Bacterial small subunit ribosomal RNA", at positions 771 to 1501 of the family's 1533-position model. The record is from RNAcentral.